UCAAGGUGAGAGAUACGGAGGUAGAGCACUGAAUGUCCUAGGGGGUAUUGCACCUACCGAAGACUAUCAAACUCCGAAUGCCGUCAUCUUAUACUUGGGAGUCAGACUGUGGGUGAUAAGAUUCAUAGUCGAAAGGGCAACAGCCCAGAUCGUCAGCUAAGGUCCCUAAAUGUAAGUUAAGUGGUAAAGGAUGUGGGAUUGCACAGACAACCAGGAUGUUGGCUUAGAAGCAGCCACUCAUUCAAAGAGUGCGUAAUAGCUCACUGGUCGAGUGAUCCUGCGCCGAAGAUUUCCGGGGCUAAAACUUACUACCGAAGCUACGGCAUCAGUAAUGAUGGGUAGGGGAGCUUCCCAUACGGGUUGAAGCAUGACCGUAAGGACAUGUGGACAGUAUGGGAGUGAGAAUGUUGGCAUGAGUAGCGAGAUGUGGGUGAGAAUCCCACAGGCCGUAAACCCAAGGUUUCCAGGGGAAGGUUCGUCCGCCCUGGGUUAGUCGGGACCUAAGCUGAGGCCGAAAGGCGUAGGUGAUGGACAACAGGUUGAUAUUCCUGUACUACCGAUAACCAUUUGAGAGAAGGGAUGACACAGUAGGAUAAGCUAAGCACACUGUUGGUUAUGUGUGCCCAAGCAUUGAGGCAGUCAAAGUAGGCAAAUCCGCUUUGAUAAUGCUGGGAUGUGAUGGGGAGCGAAAUUUAGUAGCGAAGUAGCUGAUUUCACACUGUCAAGAAAAGUCUCUAUCGAGGUUAAAGGUACCCGUACCGCAAACCGACACAGGUGGGUGAGGAGAGUAUCCUAAGGCCAGCGAGAGAACUGUUGUUAAGGAACUCGGCAAAAUGACCCCGUAACUUAGGGAUAAGGGGUGCCACCAUCAGGUGGCCGCAGAGAAUAGGCCCAAGCGACUGUUUACCAAAAACAUAGGUUUCUGCUAAGUCGCAAGACGAUGUAUAGGAGCUGACGCCUGCCCGGUGCUGGAAGGUUAAGGGGAUCUGUUAGAGCAAUCGAAGCAGUGAACUUAAGCCCCAGUAAACGGCGGCCGUAACUAUAACGGUCCUAAGGUAGCGAAAUUCCUUGUCGGGUAAGUUCCGACCCGCACGAAAGGCGUAACGAUUUGGGCACUGUCUCAACAACAGACUCGGUGAAAUUGUAAUUCCGGUGAAGAUGCCGGAUACCUGCGACAGGACGGAAAGACCCCAUGGAGCUUUACUGUAGCUUGACAUUGGGUCUUGGUACUACAUGUACAGGAUAGGUGGGAGGCUUUGAAACCAGGACGCCAGUUUUGGCGGAGCCAUCCUUGGGAUACCACCCUUGUAGUACUGGGACUCUAACCAUAGGCCAUGAAUCUGGUCUUGGGACACUGUCAGGUGGGCAGUUUGACUGGGGCGGUCGCCUCCCAAAAGGUAACGGAGGCGCUCAAAGGUUCUCUCAGUACGGUCGGAAAUCGUACGUAGAGUGUAAAGGCAAAAGAGAGCUUGAUUGCAAGACAUACAGGUCGAGCAAGGAUGAAAAUCGGACUUAGUGAUCCGGUGGUUCUGCGUGGAAGGGCCAUCGCUCAACGGAUAAAAGCUACCCUGGGGAUAACAGGCUUAUCUCCCCCAAGAGUCCACAUCGACGGGGAGGUUUGGCACCUCGAUGUCGGCUCAUCACAUCCUGGGGCUGUAGUAGGUCCCAAGGGUUGGGCUGUUCGCCCAUUAAAGUGGUACGCGAGCUGGGUUCAGAACGUCGUGAGACAGUUCGGUCCCUAUCCGUCGCAGGCGUAGGAAAUUUGAGAAGACCUGUCCUUAGUACGAGAGGACCGGGAUGGACGUACCUCUGGUGUACCAGUUGUCCUGCCAAGGGCAUGGCUGGGUAGCUAUGUACGGAAUGGAUAAGCGCUGAAAGCAUCUAAGCGCGAAGCCAACUUCAAGAUAAGAUUUCCCACCGCAAGGGUAAGACCCCAGAAAGACUAUCUGGUUGAUAGGUCGAAGGUGUAAGUGCAGCAAUGUAUUUAGCUUAUCGAUACUAAUAGGUCGAGGACUUGACCAA
This 2022-nucleotide ribosomal RNA is filed under the name Clostridioides difficile. Its description in RNAcentral is "bacterial LSU rRNA". It matches the Rfam family "Bacterial large subunit ribosomal RNA", at positions 882 to 2925 of the family's 2925-position model. Lineage: Bacteria; Bacillati; Bacillota; Clostridia; Peptostreptococcales; Peptostreptococcaceae. The record is from RNAcentral.